CCAGACCUCCUCCUUGUGCCACCAAGCCAGGCCCCAAGCUCCACGAGGAUAGAAGCUCCUUUAUUUGAGACCUUGCCUUAUGUCUGUCUUCAUCGCUGAUAACUUGUAUCCUUCAUGGUAUCCUUUAUUAAACUGAUAAAUGUCCUCUAGUACGAUACUGAACAGAAGUGGAGAUGACAGCACACUUACCUUGUACCCCAUUUUAAAAUGAAUGAAGACUGGGACUUAUCUUCUGACCAAUGAACUUCCGCCAAGAAUCCCUCCCAUGCCCAAUCAAGAACUCACUGUUUAGACUGGCUGGACUUCCCCCUCUUUGUAUUUGCCCAUAAUUCAGCCCUUCCCAAACCCUCAACCAGCUCACCUGUAGCUGGCUACCGCACACAUUUCCCCAACUGCAAUUCCUCUGCUAUUCCGGAAUAAACUCAAUUUCUGGUAAUUAGAGCUUAUCUCAGUUUACCUCUUUAUUUAGGUUGACAGUCCUCACAGAAGAGAUGCAAAAGCAGGGAACAACAAAGUUAUUUCUCUAAGAUUCAAUCACCUCCUAGGAGCUGCCAGCGUAAGACUUGGCACCACCUUCCUUCCUACUGCAGGCCAGGGAGAAACUCAAUUCUUAUUCUAGGGAUUUCCUCCAAGAGACCCCUUCUCCCUCCUGACUUAGACUGGCUUCUCAAUGAGUUUUGAGUGUUGGAAAUUGAAGAGUUGUAAAUUAAAAAGAAGAGGAAAUGUC
Molecule: non-coding RNA, 727 nt
Organism: Manis javanica (Malayan pangolin)
Lineage: Eukaryota; Metazoa; Chordata; Mammalia; Pholidota; Manidae
Source: RefSeq, a predicted model, not a curated record